AUUGCUUCUCAGCCUUUUGGCUAAGAUCAAGUGUAGUAUCUGUUCUUAUCAGUUUAAUAUCUGAUACAUCCUCUAUCCGAGGACAGUAUAUUAAAUGGAUUUUUGGAACAGGAGAUGGAAUAGGAACUCGCUCCGUCCACUCCAUGCAUCGGCCUGGUAUUGCAGUACCUUCAGGAACGGGGCACCAAAA
Molecule: small nuclear RNA, 190 nt
Filed under: Castor canadensis (American beaver)
Lineage: Eukaryota; Metazoa; Chordata; Mammalia; Rodentia; Castoridae
Description: U2 spliceosomal RNA (ENSCCNG00000009355.1)
Rfam family: U2 spliceosomal RNA
About the family: U2 is a small nuclear RNA (snRNA) component of the spliceosome (involved in pre-mRNA splicing). Complementary binding between U2 snRNA (in an area lying towards the 5' end but 3' to hairpin I) and the branchpoint sequence (BPS) of the intron results the bulging out of an unpaired adenosine, on the BPS, which initiates a nucleophilic attack at the intronic 5' splice site, thus starting the first of two transesterification reactions that mediate splicing.
Source: Rfam by way of RNAcentral